GAUGAACGCUAGCGGCAGGCCUAAUACAUGCAAGUCGUACGGCAACACAGUUGCGAGCAAUCGCAACCGGUGGCGAGUGGCGCACGGGUGAGUAACGCGUAUGUAACCUACCCUUCUCCGGGACAUAACUCCGCGAAAGCGGUGCUAAUAUCCCAUACCAACUCAUCAAGACAUCUUCUUGAGUUGAAAGCAGCAAUGCGGUGAAGGAUGGGCAUGCGUCCCAUUAGCUGGUUGGUGAGGCAAUGGCCCACCAAGGCUACGAUGGGUAGGGGUUCUGAGAGGAAAGCCCCCCACACUGGUACUGAGACACGGACCAGACUCCUACGGGAGGCAGCAGUAAGGAAUAUUGGGCAAUGGUCGAAAGACUGACCCAGCCAUGCCGCGUGCAGGAUGAAGGCCCUAUGGGUUGUAAACUGCUUUUAGCCGGGAAUAAACACCCGUUUUAUAACGGGCCCGAAGGUACCGGCUGAAUAAGCAUCGGCUAACUCCGUG
This 492-nucleotide ribosomal RNA is filed under the name uncultured bacterium. RNAcentral describes it as "bacterial SSU rRNA". It matches the Rfam family "Bacterial small subunit ribosomal RNA", at positions 28 to 507 of the family's 1533-position model. The record is from RNAcentral.